GAUAAACGCUGACAGAAUGCUUAACACAUGCAAGUCGAUGAUGGGAGCUAGCUUGCUAGAAGAAGUCAUGGCGGACGGGUGAGUAACGUGUAAAGAACUUACCAUAUAGACUGGGAUAACAGAGGGAAACUUCUGAUAAUACUGGAUAAGUUAGUAGUAGCAUUACUAAGUAAUGAAAGGUAGCAAUACGCUAUAUGAGAGCUUUGCAUCCUAUUAGCUAGUUGGUGGGGUAAAAGCCUACCAAGGCGAUGAUAGGUAGCCGGCCUGAGAGGGUGGACAGCCACAAGGGGACUGAGAUACGGCCCUUACUCCUACGGGAGGCAGCAGUGGGGAAUAUUGGACAAUGGAGGCAACUCUGAUCCAGCAAUUCUGUGUGUGUGAAGAAGGUUUUAGGACUGUAAAACACUUUUAGUAGGGAAGAAAGAGAUGACGGUACCUACAGAAGAAGCGACGGCUAAAUACGUG
RNAcentral lists this ribosomal RNA (465 nucleotides) under uncultured bacterium. RNAcentral's name for it is "partial 16S ribosomal RNA". It matches the Rfam family "Bacterial small subunit ribosomal RNA", at positions 28 to 507 of the family's 1533-position model. The record is from RNAcentral.